RNAcentral lists this transfer RNA (46 nucleotides) under Paroedura bastardi. RNAcentral's name for it is "partial tRNA-Cys". Lineage: Eukaryota; Metazoa; Chordata; Lepidosauria; Squamata; Gekkonidae. The record is from RNAcentral.
CCGACAUGCAACUACGGAGAAGCACCCCAAAAGGGUGCCGGGGCUU